RNAcentral lists this ribosomal RNA (651 nucleotides) under uncultured bacterium. RNAcentral describes it as "bacterial SSU rRNA". It matches the Rfam family "Bacterial small subunit ribosomal RNA", at positions 231 to 881 of the family's 1533-position model. The record is from RNAcentral.
CUGCGUUCCAUUAGGCAGUUGGCGGGGUAACGGCCCACCAAACCGACGAUGGAUAGGGGUUCUGAGAGGAAGGUCCCCCACAUUGGUACUGAGACACGGACCAAACUCCUACGGGAGGCAGCAGUGAGGAAUAUUGGUCAAUGGGCGUAAGCCUGAACCAGCCCAAGUCGCGUGAGGGAUGAAGGUUCUAUGGAUCGUAAACCUCUUUUAUAAGGGAAUAAAGUGUGGGACGUGUCCCGUUUUGUAUGUACCUUAUGAAUAAGGAUCGGCUAACUCCGUGCCAGCAGCCGCGGUAAUACGGAGGAUCCGAGCGUUAUCCGGAUUUAUUGGGUUUAAAGGGUGCGUAGGCGGCCUUUUAAGUCAGCGGUGAAAGUCUGUGGCUCAACCAUAGAAUUGCCGUUGAAACUGGGGGGCUUGAGUAUGUUUGAGGCAGGCGGAAUGCGUGGUGUAGCGGUGAAAUGCUUAGAUAUCACGCAGAACCCCGAUUGCGAAGGCAGCCUGCCAAGCCAUGACUGACGCUGAUGCACGAAAGCGUGGGGAUCAAACAGGAUUAGAUACCCUGGUAGUCCACGCAGUAAACGAUGAUCACUAGCUGUUUGCGAUACAGUGUAAGCGGCACAGCGAAAGCGUUAAGUGAUCCACCUGGGGAGU